GACGUAGGGCGCGAGCGUUGUCCGGAUUUAUUGGGCGUAAAGAGCUCGUAGGCGGCUUGUCGCGUCGACUGUGAAAACCCGAGGCUCAACCUCGGGCCUGCAGUGGGUACGGGCAGACUAGAGUGCGGGUAGGGGAGAAUGGAAUUCCUGGUGUAGCGGUGGAAUGCGCAGAUAUCAGGAGGAACACCGAUGGCGAAGGCAAUCCCCUGGGCCUGCACUGACGCUCAUGCACGAAAGCGUGGGGAGCAAACAGG
This 254-nucleotide ribosomal RNA is filed under the name uncultured bacterium. RNAcentral's name for it is "partial 16S ribosomal RNA". It matches the Rfam family "Bacterial small subunit ribosomal RNA", at positions 524 to 776 of the family's 1533-position model. The record is from RNAcentral.